UGCUGCUAAGACAACUUUCCAGUGUUCAGUUUGUAUAUACUGAAAACAAAUACAGAUGACUGUAAUCAGUUCACUGUUGCCAGCUCCCUGGGACUUUGUGUGGUUUUCAGUUAUAAAUUAGGCUAUAAAAAAAU
RNAcentral lists this small nucleolar RNA (134 nucleotides) under Podiceps cristatus (great crested grebe). RNAcentral's name for it is "Small nucleolar RNA SNORA5". It matches the Rfam family "Small nucleolar RNA SNORA5". Rfam says of the family: ACA5 is a member of the H/ACA class of snoRNA that guide the sites of modification of uridines to pseudouridines. The record is from Rfam by way of RNAcentral. Lineage: Eukaryota; Metazoa; Chordata; Aves; Podicipediformes; Podicipedidae.